Molecule: long non-coding RNA, 302 nt
Filed under: Amphimedon queenslandica
Lineage: Eukaryota; Metazoa; Porifera; Demospongiae; Haplosclerida; Niphatidae
Description: uncharacterized LOC109587566
Source: RNAcentral
AAUUUGCUCUAAUUAAUCGUAUGUAAAAUUUAAAAUGGCUGGAGAAGUGAAGCAGAUAACCCUUCGAUAAUGUAGAGGGACACUCUUUCUACUUGCCCAAGUAGUCUGCUGUGGCAAUCAUGAUGUUUGCAGUUGGAAUUCAUUGUUAAUCAGCACUGUCAAUCAUUAAUCACCAUAUUACAUGUUUAAUUGUAUAUUUUCUGUAAUUUAUAAUCUAUAUGAUUGAGAGUGUGCCAGUGACCUCCGGUAUGUUCUAAGCAUUAGAAUAGUGUGAUAGUUGAUGUCAUAGACCAUUUAGUUUU